This 17020-nucleotide long non-coding RNA is filed under the name Prunus persica (peach). Its description in RNAcentral is "long non-coding RNA (PPER_LNC003149)". Lineage: Eukaryota; Viridiplantae; Streptophyta; Magnoliopsida; Rosales; Rosaceae. The record is from RNAcentral.
AUUUGAUUUUCUAGUAUUUUUAUUUGAAUGCAAAUGGGGAGUACUUCCUUAUUUACAUUGUAAACUUAAGUAAAUGGAGUAAUAUAAAAAUCAAUGAAAGUAAAAGAACAAAGACAUUUACUUAAAUGUUGAAAAUGGAAAUAAGGUAAUCUGUACAUCAGCUGAGCAAAGGGGCAAUUUGAAGCCUUAAUAGGUCCGUCACUGCGUGUGUGUAGAAGAUUACCAUAAUCUUUUACGGGAACACAAAAGAAAAAUAGAAGACAUUAUUUUAAAAAUAUAAUAGAAUGGAAUGUCAUACCAUAGUUAUUUGGUAUAUCAUCGAUUCGAUUGAAUAUAGAUGUCAUCCUUCUAAUCUUAAAGGUUCGUUUGCAUUUAUACAAAGAACAUGACCUCUCCACAAAAAAACCCUAGCCCCCUUUCUCCCAUAAAACACUCUUAGAGCCUUUUCCACCUUGAGGGGGGAAGAAGCCAUUGUUCUUCCCCCCUCUCCUCUCCUCUCUUCUCUUCCUCUCUUCCUCCUUUCACCUCUUCCCCCAUUUUCAAAGACAAAGGGUUUUCCCUUUUUGUCUUAGUUUUGUUAUGAUAUUCAUCCAACCAUUAGUGGCGGCUGCGGCUCAGCGUCGGAUCUUCACCUGCAUUUCGGCGUCAGAUCUCCACCACCAUCUUUUUUUCAAUUUCUUUAUGUUUGGAAUAAGUUGCAGAGACUCUUUGGGUUCUCUGUGUAGUUUUCACCUCUCCUUUUGUGAGAGUUUUUCAUCUCUCCAUUGUGAGAGAUUUUCAACUCUCCUUGGUGAGAGUUUUAUUUGUAUUGUUAUGGCUUGGUUUUUUCAAGCUUUAUCUCUUUUUUAUUAUUCUAAGUUUGCAAUCUUAGUUGGGAUGCCUAUGCCAGAGUUUCUUCGAUCUUGCCUGAUCAUUGGUGGAGACAUACCUGAUUUUCUUAAUUUGCUCCGUUAUUGUAAUGGCCCUUUUGUGACUAGUUUGUAUUGGCCAUUUGUGACUAGUGGCUUUUUUGGCUAAAUUAUGAAUGCAAUCAUAGAAUUUCUCAAAAAAAAAAAAAAGAUGUCAUCCUUCUUGGUGGACCAAUUAAUAAGUCCAAGUAACGCUUUUUCAUGAUUCUUUUGAACAAAAAUCUUCUAAGAUUACUGCAAUCAAAUCAGAAGUCGAUACAUUUAUUUUCUUUGGCGAGAGAAUCCACAAUACGACUCUCAUGCUUGCAUAUCAUCUAUUUAAAAAUAUAAAAAUCCAAAUUGUUAUAACAAAAUGCGUACUUAUACGAUGAAGACAAAUAUUAAGAGUGCUGCUAUUUCCACUCACCUGUCCUAUUUUCCCACAUACCUUAUCUUCCCACCCACCAUAUAAAUUUUAAAAAACACAAUCCUAUUUUUCCACCCGCCAAUAUUCCUAAAAUACCCUUUUAAUUGUUACCUCAUUUCCUCUCUCCUUUAUGCUCUAUGCUCAUGUCUUCUCUCUCUCUGAUGCCCACACAUCUCUCUCUCAUUUUUGCUGUAUCUUAUUUUCUACGAAAUUUGAAAUUUGAAAGCAAACAAUAGUAAGUAAUACAGUAGUAAAACGAUAAAAGAAGCAACUUCAUAUCACGAAAUUUGAUGACAAUGGCUAGUCAGCAUGCAAAAAAUGACCAGCCCUUGAAACCAAAACCUGGCACCCGCUCCCCAAUUUCUAAACGCACCGAGCAACCUCUUUACCCACCUUCCAAACUUUCUGGUCCGCUGACAGAAACUUGUUCAUCCUCAGGUUUUCAUAUUUUUAAUUUGUUUAAGAAAAAAAAUUAGGGUCCAAGAAAUACUGAUCUCCCAAUGCUUUAAGUACUUGUAAAGAUCUUAGAAAUUCUGUUCAAAAAGGAUUUCCUUACCUUUUCGCCAAAAUCAUUCUCUUCAACAUCCACUCCCCUAUUGUUUUCUUCUUCAUAAACAAUUUGAUUGAAUGAAUCGAAAAGAGAAGAAAAUUCUUUGAGAAUUGAGUUCUGCUCAUUGAAAAGUCAUAAGAGGAAUCAUGAGCUAGGAGUCAUAGCUUUCUUUUGUUUUUUUCUCUUUCUGUCAAACGAUAGGGUUACGUAAGAACAUAGUCUAAGUUUUUUUUUUUUUUCCUCUUUCUUUUUCCUGAAGUCCUUUUAAGUCAUUUUAUAUAAUGAGGUUAAAUUUGUCUUUAAAAGUUUAAAGAUAAUGUGGGUGGAAACAUAAGACAGGUGGGUGGAAAUAGCAGCACUCAAUAUUAAUAUGGGAUAACUUGGCUAUCAUAGAAGGUAAUGAAAUAGAGAAUUAAUAUUUCCAGAAGGAUAGAAAGAAUAAUUCUUUUAGGAAAACCAAAGGUUACACACAAAAGAGGUAAUUCCAAAACCCUUGCUUGAAAACCCUAAAGGCACACAUGCCUCCUCUCUCUGUGUGGCUCUCACACCAGCCCCAUUUUCUCCCUAAGAAAAUACUCCUAUUCCUUUUUAAAAUACCCACAUCUCCUUGAGACUAUUUUCCGACUUGGGCAUCGGAGGGCCCAAGACCACCACCACACUGGUGUUUAUCCAAUUUAUUAUUCUUGUUUUGCAGGAAAUCUUGGAAGAACAUUUAAAGUGGAGUGAAGAUCUUCCAUAAAUCUACCUGGAGGAAAUUUGCUACCACAAUAAUUUCUACUAACAUGAGAAGAACUUCCCAAGUGUAAAAAUAAAAGUAAUUGUAUAGUAAAGGCAUCAUAAAUUAGAAAACUAACAAGAAAAAGAAUAGAAAACUACCAUUGUAGACCAUUCCUUUUAAGAAUUCAUCAUAAAUAGGUUCAGAAUUCUAUGCCUGGUAUAAUAACAAUUUGCUAUUAAAAAAGAAUAGGUUAGUUAGGCCAUUAAUACAUAUGUUAAAUGAUGACGUGGCAAACAGGAGUUUCAAUUUUUUUGCUGAUGUGCAAUAAAAUAUUCAUAAAAAAUUAUUUAUUUUUGAAAUAAUUUAUAAAAAAGUAAAAAAAAAAAAUUAAGUAAAAUAAUAACAUAACAUUAAAUUGAAAAAAGUCAAAAUUAAGCGAUGAUGAUGUUGUAAUUCAGCAAGGGGCAAUGUAUGAGGGGUUGUGUAUGAGGGAAUUAAUUUGGUUUCCUUUGAAUGUGGAUGUUUUGGGCAUGGGAGAGAUUCUUGCCCUAUUAUUUUGCAAGCCAAACAGCAGGUUCCAGAGUCAGAUAAUGCUGAUUGUAUGGAGGAUAUUUCUACUGUCCAGGUUAAUGUGAAUUUAGGUGCUGCUACAAAGGAGGCUGAGGUUCCAGCAAAGAUGCACGGGGAGUGGAUGUUGUUGAAGCCAAGGAAUUUUAGGAAGAAUAGCACAAAUGAUAUAGGGAAGGGUGCUGAGCUUAGCAAGAGGAAUACAAAGGAUACUAGUACGAAAGCUAUUAGUCCUGUCUUUGGUUCUCGUUUCAAUGUGUCGAUUGAGGAGGUUGGCAGAGAAGAGGAUAUGGAGGGAUCUACUCCUGUUAAGACUAGUGAUUCUAGUUCUAAAAAACAGGGUUCUUUUGCCAAUACUUAUUCUACUAAGGGAAAAAGUGCUGGGGUGAAAUUUGCUUCCUCUCGUGACUCUGGCACAUGGGUGUUUAAAAAACCUCUCAAGGACAUUUCCAAUUCCGUGGUAGCUAAUUCUAGUGGUGGUGGUGUUAAAAGUGGUUCUGUUUUAAGGAGGCCUUGGAAGAAAGACCUGGGCCUAAAUCUUUCUCUUGUCAUGAUAUUGAACCUGUGAGGCUGCAAGUUAAGGGCUCUGAUGUUCAAGAUGAUGUUCGGGGGAAGUUUUCUUUUAAUUUAGGUGGCUCUCUUUUUCCAAAGUUGCCUUUGGGUAAGGGAGGUUUGAGAUGGGAAUUAAUGAGGUUGAGCCUUCCGAUGCGACUGAUAUGGAUCAUCAGAGUAAUUUCUCUGAACAUUGUGAGUCUGAUACUGGACUAGAAGCUGAUAGCUCUUUUGAGCAUGAUGGUUUUGAAGCCGUUGAGGCUGAGCAUGUGCAGAUUUAGGUUUGUACCUAAUAUUGUCCCUCAUUAUUAUCAUUUUAUGAUGAAUAUUAUUGCUUGGAAUGUUAGAGGUGCUGGUAAAGAUAGGUGUGCCAGUACUUUUAUGGACCUAAAAAAGGCUUAUCCCAUUGAUGUGUUUGCCAUUCUUGAGCCUCGAAUAAGUGGCUCUAGGGCUCUCAGUGUUGCCCAGAGUUUUGGUUUUUCUCAUUACCAUAUCGUUGAUGCUUUUGGUUUUUCUGGGGGGUGUUUGGUUGUAGUGGAAUGGGAAUUCAGUUUCUCUUCAAGUUAUUCUACACUCUAGCCAAUCUAUCACUGCGUUAGUAACUUUGAGGAAUCAUACGUGGCUCCUCGCUAUUGUUUAUGCAAACCCUUGCCCUGGGAUUUGAGAAGCUUUGUGGAAGUACUUUGAUGGUCUUACUAAAGCUUCCAAUCUGCCAUGGCUUGUUCUAGGUGAUUUUAAUGAUAUUGUGAGUGUGGAUGAGAAAUGUGGGGGUAAUUUAGACCAAGGUGGUAAAAAUUUUGAUGAGUGGAUUGAUCGUAACCAUUUGGUUGACCUGGGUUUCACUGGGGCAAAGUUUACUUGGUGUAAUAAACAGAAUGCUGAAGGAAUUAUUUGGAAGAGGCUUGAUAGGGGCCUUUGUAGUAUUGAUUGGCGUCUUUUGUUCCCUGAGGCUCACCUCCUGCAUCUUCCGAGGGUGAAUUCAGAUCACUGUCCUAUUUUGGUGCGCCUUGACUCCAAACAUUAUCCUAAUAGAGCAAAUGUGCCUUUUCGUUUCCAAGCAAUGUGGAUGUCUCAUCCUGAUUUUAAGGAAUUUGUUACGAACCUUUGGAGUUCUGGUGAUGGUCAUGCUGUGCACAGAUCAGCUAGGCUCAUGGCUCCGCUUGGCAUUUGGAAUCAGCAGGUUUUUGGGUGUUUAUUUACAAAGAAAAUGCAUCUUUUAGCUAGACUUGCAGAAAUUUAAAAGAACCUUUGUCAUGAGCAUAAUCCUUUCCUUAGUGAGCUUGAGGUUGAGCUUACUAAAGAUUACAAUUUACUACUGGAUCAAGAAGAGACGUUUUGGCUACAAAAGUCCAGGAAUACCUGGCUUAAAGAAGGGGACAUGAAUACUCGGUUCUUCCAUCUGUCUACAGUUGUUAGGCGAAGAAUGAAUAAGUUGGAAUGGUUACAUGAUGAUUUUGGAGAUUGGAUUACUGAGAAACAGAGCAUGAAACAUAUUAUUGUUAAUUAUUUUCAAGGGUUGUUUUGUGCUUAUGAUAUGGUUGGUGACUAUGCUUUGCUUCCUCAGUUGUAUCCUAGCCUUGAAGAGGCUGAUCUUGAAGGUCUUAGUUGUCCGGUUUCUAUUGAAGAGAUUAAGAAUAGUGUGUUUGCUAUUGGUAGAUUAAAGACCCCAGGACCUGAUGGUUUCCCUGCUCUUUUCUACCGAGAUUAUUGGGGGGUUUGAUUUAUCCAAAGCUUAUGAUCGUAUGCAAUGGCCUUUUAUUAGGGAGGUUCUCUGGGAAGUGGCAUUAAAGGAAGCAUUUUGGAGUUGCUUAUGCAGUGUAUCAUUUCUGUGCAGUACAAGGCCAUUCUUAAUGGGGAGCUAAUUGACUCUUUCUCUCCUCAGUGUGGUAUUAGGCAGGGGGACCCUCUCUCCCCUUAUAUAUUUGUUUUGUGUACGGAAAAACUCUCUCAUCUCAUUCAACAAAAGAUUCAGGAUAGAGCUUGGAAGUCUGUUCAGAUUUGUCAAGGAGGUCCUCAUAUUUCCCAUUUAUUCUUUGUUGAUGAUUUAAUCCUUUUUAGGGAAGCUACUACUGAUCAAGCUUGGUUGAUGAAAUAGUGUUUGGAUGAUUUCUGUCAGUUGUCUGGUCAGCGAGUUAGCUUUGAAAAGUCUAUGAUAUGUGUUUCCCCAAAUACGUGCUCUGAUUUGGCUAAUUCAAUUGCUAUGAUAAGUGGUUCUCCUCUCACUGCUAGCCUUGGUAAGUACCUUGGUGUCCCACUAGAGUCAGUAAACAAACAUAUCAAGAGGUUAUUGCUAAAGUCCAAAAGAGAUUAGCUUCUUGGAAGAGCCAUACGUUGUCUAUGGCUGGUAGAAUUACUUUGCUUCAAUCUGUUACUGCUGCUAUUCCUAUCUAUACUAUACAAACUGCCAAGUUGCCUAUGUCUGUCUGUGAUAAAUUGGAUCUGCUCAACAGGAAUUUUCUUUGGGGGCAUACCAGUAAUACUUCUAAAAUCCAUCUUGUCAAUUGGGAGCAAGUGUGUAAACCUAAGGUAGUUGGUGGGUUAGGCAUUAAAAGGUCUGCUUGGAUGAACCAAGCUCUUUUGGCUAAGACUGGAUGAAGACUUCUUCAACAUGAGCAAGGUUUGUGGUCUCAGGUCUUCUAUGCUAAGUACUUAAAACACCAAAACAUUUUAACCGUGAAGGACUCUUUUUUCCCUUGUAGCUCUAGUGUCUGGAGGGGUGUUCUUUAUGGUAAUUCUGUCAUUUCGAAAGGUGUUAAGUGGAGAGUUGGUUAUGGGGAUAAUGUGUUAUUUUGGACUGAUAGGUGGUUGAGUUGUGGUCCUUUGUAUCAAUAUUUGCUCAUUGAUCCUUUUGAGGAAAUGCUUCAGCUGAAUGUUGGUGAUUUUUUGGAUGAGGGGGUCUGGGACUUUAACUGCUUAAGGGAAUGUCUUCUUUUUCAUAUUAUUCAGUUAAUUUGAAGUGUUCAUGCUGGUUUUAAUGGCAGUGGGGCUGAUAGAUAUAUUUGGCAGUUCACGCCUAAUGGUUCUUUCUCGGCUAAAUCAGCCUAUAGUUCCUUUUUACCUGCAGAGGCUUUAGUUAAAUGGGACUGGCAGUUUCUUUGGAGGUUACGACUCCCUCCUAAGGUUAAAACUUUUCUUUGGAUUGUUUGUUAUCCAUAGUUGCUUACUAAUGUGCAAAGGCAGAAGAGAGGCCUCACUCAAGUUCCUACUUGUCCUAGAUGUGAUUAUCCUAUGGAAACUAUUGCUCACAUAUUUAAAGAUUGUCCUUUCUCUUUGGCCAUUUGGAAUUGUCUUCAAAUUGGAAAUAAUCCUAGCCCUGAUAUGGUGGAUUUUAAUGAGUGGCUGUUAAGGAAUCUACAAUCUAAAAGAAAGGUCUAUAACGGGUUGCCUUGGCCUUUGGUUUUUGCACUUUAUCUGUCGUUUAUAUGGAAAUGGAGAUGUAAAGGAAUUUUUUUAUCAAAGGUUUGUUAUGCCUGGUGAACCACAUCAUUUACUUCUUCAGUAUGCUUUGGAGUGGUUUAACACUACCAAACCGCCUUCCCUUUCUUAUAUGCCGUUUGUUGUUCAACUGCAUUGGAUAGCCCCUACUUAUGGAGUUUGUAAGAUUAACACAAAUGGAAGUCGUAACAGUGUUUCUGGGUUUAUUAGUGCUGGUGGUCUUUUAAGAGAUAAUUAUAGUGCUUGGAUUAAGGGUUUCUCUGUGAACCUGGGUGUUGGUUUUGUUCUUGUAGCGUUGUGGGGCAUUUUUUGGGGUCUUCAUUUGGCUUUGGAGUUUGGCUUUCGUGUUGUGGAGAUGGAAAGUGACUCUAGUGUGGAUGUGGCUCUUCUUUCUAGCUCUACUAUUUCCACACACCCCCUGUUUAGCCUUAUUAGGUGUUGCAAGUUAAAGGUGCAAGCUGGUUGGAGAUGUUCUGUUAUGCACAUCUUCAGAGAGCAGAAUGUGGCAGCUCACAUCUUGGCUUCUAAGAGUUCUGAGUUUGGCACUGGGGUGCAGUAUUUUACUGAGGUGCCUACAUUUCUUGCGACUUGUUUGGUUGAGGAUGCUAUUGGGGUGUCCAGGUCCAAUGUUGUUUGUGCUUAUAUUGGGUGUCCAGGUCCCGUGUUGUUUGUGCUUAGUCUGUUUGCUCUGCGCCCUUAGCCCCUCUUGUUGCCAAAAAAAAAAAAACAGUCAAAAACACAACCCAUCCCCACUUCCAGCGAUAUCUGUGGUGGUGUUGGGUGGGGAUGGUUGAUAUCGUUGCCAUUGUCUCCUCUCAGUCCCACCCCAACUUGACUACCUCCUCCCACGCCCCCACCAACCGAGCGAGUACAACCUAGCACUCUCUCUCUCUCUCUCUCUCUCUCUCUCUCUCUCUCUCACAGAGGAGACGGUAAAAUCGACAAGGGAGGGCUUUUAGACCCACCCCUUCUCUCCUGUUUGUAGGGGUGGACAUGGUCUAGUUUGGCCCGAUUUGCACCUGGUCUAGUUUGGCCCGAUCUGCACCUAAAAAAGAAAUAUAAAUCAAUACUAUUGACUAAAAUGACUAGGAGAACCGGACCAAUCUGAACUUGCCAGUCUUGGUUCUAUGGAAUUGCAAUUAAUAUUUUAUCCGAUUAUAUUUAGAUUUUUCCGCAUUAAUUUAUAAAAAAUUUAUAAAAGUAUUCGGAUAUUAUUUAUUUAUUUAUUUAGAGGAACUAGUAAAUUUUCCUUAAAUUGUCAAAGGUUACAGGCUUGAGCGAACAAACAUGGCCUCAUAAAAACCUUGCCCAAGAAAAGUAUUUGGAUACGCUUUCAUUGCUGUAUACGGUUUAAUACCGGUCUUGCAUAGGAAUUGACAUAUCUUGCAAUACGAUGCCUUCCAAUUAGGUUAUGAACUCGAGCAAACAAACGUGUUCUUAUUGAUACCGUAUCCACUGCAAUUAAUACUGUAUCAAUUAUUGAGUUUUUUCCACAUCAGUUUAUAAAGUUUAUAGAAGUAUUUGGAUACGCUUUCAUCCUAUUCAAAAGUUGUACAUAUUAAAAAGAGUAAAUUGUGGUAGACCUCCCCAAAUUAGGACCCCAAUCGAACUUAACUUUAUGAACUAAAAAAUCAGCUAAUUUAACACCCAAAUUAAUUAAAAUUGUCAAUUUAAUACCUGCCGUUAGAUUUUAUCACUUUUCAUCUAAAAUUCCUUCGUACGUGGCAUGUGAGACACAUGUGCAAUAUAAUUGGAGAACAAUAUAGUUCUUCAAACCUGUUUUCCUACCACUAUUCAACUUCCCUAAUAGUUGAGGCCAAAUUAAAAAUAGAGGAGCCCUAAUUUCACAAAUUCCACCAUUACAGACAAUUGUUAUGACAUAUACCCACCCAUAGCAUACAGUUGAGAAGAAGGAGAAGAAGAUGAAGUGGUUAGAAAAUGCAAAGGAACAUGCCUAGAGCAAAUGGUUCAGCCGAGUCCAAGUUCAAAUACCUGGAGCAAGAGGUUCUCUGUGUGUUCUAGAGAUAAGGAGCCUUCAGUCGGUUCUGACAUCAACUAUCCUCAUCAUUUGUUACCAAGUUAAUCGAGCCUAAACGUCUUGGUGCAAAACUUGCCUUUGUGGAGCAUUUGCCUUUUCACAACCAUUGACAGGGGAUAUAUUGACCCAGUUGUAAAGUGAGGAGGUAUGUAAGCCCCUAUUCUAAUUAAGAGUCUCUCUAUUGAUCUACACUUUCUUCAUUUAGACCCGUUUGGUUCAUGAGAAAUCAAUUGCUUUAAAUGUUUGGUAAGCUUAGGCAUAUAAGACAGAAAUAUCAGACGGUGUUACUGCCAAAUUCACAAGGGAAGUUUUUAGUGAUGAAAAUUGGGAUCAAACAGGUCAACAAUGGUAUAAGAGGGAUCUAAAUCCUAUUGGCAUUGAUGAAAAUUGUGUUGUGUAUUCAUUUAUCUUGGACAAAGGAGAGAACAUGUAGCACAAAAGCAAAGUAGAACACAUCAAUUUAUGUAUAGAGAACAUUAAUCAGUACUUUCUACUUCUUGGAUCAAGGAAGAGGUGCCAAGGACGAUGUAGCACAACCAAGAGCCUUUGUCACGCCAGUAAUUGUGGGCUUGACAUUAGAACACACAGAGGUAAGAGGGCCUUUGUCUCCACCGUAGGUGAGAUCAAUGUCAGUCAACUCCACAUUCUCACACGGUUUGCCCGUGGUACAUACAAGCUUGACUGCAAGUGGAGUGAAAGAUGAGCCCUUAAUGUUCUUGAAGCUGACAUUGUUGAUCUUAACUUUUGACGGAGGCUUUUGUUCACACUUAGUAUAUGGGCAGUACAAUUGGUCUAUGAGGAUAGGGUUACUGACAUUAACCAUGAUAAUAUCCUCAUAGUGUAUACCCGAGGCAGAGCUAGGCGAAGGAGAAUCUGGAAAUGUUUUGAUUCUCACACCGUUCUCCGUAUUAGUCAGGGUGCAGUUCUUAACUAUGAUCCCGGUCACAUCCUUUUCUUCCUUAUAUUUUCCAAGGCUUCCAAUGCUUAUUCCAUGGCCUGGCCCACAAGUAACACCAGUCACUGUGAUUUCGUGGGAGUCAUCACCAAUAGAAAUACAGUCAUCCCCAGUUCCAAUCUUUGAAUGAGUAAUGUUGAUACCAGUCGAAGCCCCGAUAUGGAUUCCAUCUGUGUUUCUGCUCUCGUCAGGUGCUGUGAUGGUAAGCUGUUGAAAUGUAGUAUGGUUGCACCGGAAAACAUGGAUGUGGAAAAAUUUGCUGUUAAGUGAAGUUAUGUCCUGAACUUUGGAAUUUGUGAGGAAUUCAAACCGCAGAUUAACGGGAGGAGGUUUGCAAUUUUUGUUUUUGUGGCAGUCAUUUUGAUUCCAAGAAAGUGCUCCUUGGCCAUCAAAAGUCCCACCACCUGAUAAGGUGAGCAUGUCAAUGUACUGAAAACCAACCCAAGUAUCCGGUCUUGUGAGUUGGCCAGCGUCUGCUGGAGCCUGCAAUGUGCCUUGAACUUGCAUCUCAAUAGGAGCCUUACAGGGGCCUCUGAAAGUUGCUUCUUUUAACUUGUAUGUCCCGCUCGGAACGACAACUUUACUCGCGGAUGGCGAUGCACAUGCAUCACUCCAAGCCUUGGCCAAGGCCGUACUGACAUCAGAGCCAGGCUUUGCACCGUAUGUUGCACUUGUGGUUGUUAGUUCAUCUAUUUUUUACCAUAUUCUUUUAAUUUUUCUUAUAAUCCAUAGGUUUUGCUUGCUAUCUACCGGUGACAUCCAUCUUGAUUUUCCUUCCAAUUUGUUAUUUUAUUCUCUGUUUUUUUUUUUUUUUCCCUUUGGAAGGAUGAUGAACUCCGUUUUGAGUGAAGGCCAUUUAAAGUCCGAUUGGGAAGGCUCACACCAUCAAACUAUCCGACCAAUCACAACUAUUUUUAGACACAGUUGCAUUCUAGUUUAGCUUUAUGUUCUGUAAAUAGUAAGCCGAUUAGCAUAGAGAAUAUCGUCACCAAAGGCGAUUUCUAGGACGUGCUAGCUGUUUGUAGUACNNNNNNNNNNNNNNNNNNNNNNNNNNNNNNNNNNNNNNNNNNNNNNNNNNNNNNNNNNNNNNNNNNNNNNNNNNNNNNNNNNNNNNNNNNNNNNNNNNNNNNNNNNNNNNNNNNNNNNNNNNNNNNNNNNNNNNNNNNNNNNNNNNNNNNNNNNNNNNNNNNNNNNNNNNNNNNNNNNNNNNNNNNNNNNNNNNNNNNNNNNNNNNNNNNNNNNNNNNNNNNNNNNUGGUUGUUAGUUCAUCUAUUUUUUACCAUAUUCUUUUAAUUUUUCUUAUAAUCCAUAGGUUUUGCUUGCUAUCUACCGGUGACAUUGAUCUCACCUACAAUGGAAACAAAGGCCCUCUUACCUCUCAAUGUUAAUGUCAAGCCCACCAUUAUUUGUGUGACAAAAGCCCUUGCCUGUGCUACCUAUGCUGGGUGAAAGAAAUGGAAAGUACUAAAGAUAAAUUGUUGUGUUCUUUGGUUUUUUUGAUUUUGUGGUGCUUGUACAGGUCUUUUUUCUUCGCUCAGAUGCCUUCACAUGUUUUGAGCUAUAAAAUUCUAAUAUAUUUAAUAUUUGCAAAUAAAUUGCUAGUGUUAAAACAUACAUUCACUAAUUCAUCAUUGUCUAGAUAAUGCUUCAGUUUCUACUCUAUAUACUUUUCUUAGCCUACAACCAGUUCGAUGCUUGGCCAAUUGAAGCUGGGAUUAGUAUGCCAGCUUGAUUUUGAUCCUUCCACUAUAUUAAUUGAAGAUUAUCAGACAAACCGAAUGUGUGUGUAUAUAUAUGUAUAUAUAUAUAUAUACAUUUAUUCUCUCAUCCAGACGGUCUGGACGUUAUUAUCGUGCGGGCGCCAUUGUAAACAAGGAGUACACUUUUAAAAUAAAUUAAUAUUUAAAGAGUGGCUAUACUUGUUAUUUAUGCGAAUAUUCUAUACUAUUUAAAUAUUUGAAUGGAUGUCAAGCAUAUAGCCGACCAGCUAUACUGCAUAAAAGUGUGUUCUUUUUUGUAAUCAAGUAAUAUCUUACCAUUUCAAAAUUAAUUGAAUUUUUAUGUAUUUAGUGAAUAAUUAUUAUUGAAAUAUUUUACUAAUUUCAAUAUUUACUUCAUAAAUUGUAAUUAAUUAUUUAAAAUUAUUUUGUGGACUUUAAUUUUCUACAAAAUUAGUUUAUUUUGUUUAAUAUGUUCAAAUAUUUUAAUAGUAUAGCCGUGCGACUGUACUAUUAAAAUAUAUUAAUAUUUAAAGCGUAUAGCCAUGCGGCUAUACCUGUUAAGUAUAUUUUAGUUUUAAGAGUAUAGCCGCACGACAAUACUUUUAAAAUAUUUAGACAUAUUGAAUAUUCGAACAGAUUAAACUAAAUAAACUAAUUUUGUACAAAAUAAAAUAAAAAAACAAAGUCCACAAAAUAAUUUAAAAUAAUUAAUUACAAUUUAUUAAGUAAUUUUUGAAAUUACUAAAAAAUUUAAAUACUAAUUGUUCACUAAAUUUAUAAUAAUUAAAGCAAUUAAAAAAGGCUAAGAUCUAACUUUUUAUCUUUCAAUGGAUCCAUCUGCUUUGAGUUUCACAGUAUAGAUCAACCCGCAUCCCACAGUAUUCUUUCCAUAAGGUAAAGGCACGAGCUCUCAUGUGGCAAUCUUCUGGAGAGCUCGCAUGUAACACCCCGUCCCAAAAAUACUGUUCAAUUGAUUAUUUAAUUGUGGAUUUACAAUUAAGCCCUUGGGGGUAGGGUUACUUUAGUCACUUUUCAAUCUGGACGGUUUUUCAGGAUUUUAGUAACACCAUUUUGUAGAGCUCGCUCUCACGAGUUCGUAGACACAUAGUGGGCUCAAAUCGGAGUUAUAACGAAGAAGUUGUGGUCCACGGAAGUGCAGUGGCAAAAACGUAAAAUUUUCAAAGUUGGAUUUUAAAAUACCCAAUCAGCCUCUCUCUCUCUCUCUCUCUCUCUCUCUCUCUCUCUCUCUCUCUCUACGCACACGACUUUCUCUCUUUACAAGAGCGGCGGCAAAUUUUCGACCGUGAUUUUGUCAUCGUCCGGUGUCCGAUUCGAGCAAAAUUGGUUACAAAAGUUUCGUAACAGUGUCCUCUAUCUUACCCACAUUUCCCAGCUCAAAAACCCAAGGAAAUUAAACUGAGCUACUGGAAGUUCGAGUGAUUUUUGAAGUUUUCGAGGCUGUUUUCAGCGAUCUCGGUGGCGGUUUUCGUCUAUCCAGGUAUGAAUCUUCAUCCCAUCCACGUGCUCUAGUUGUUUAUGUUGGUAUCUUGGAUAAAUUUUGAGGUUUUACAUGUCGUUUAAAAUACCCAUUUUAGCCAACGGUUUUGGCUUCAAUUCGGCUAGUUCCGACUAGUUUUUGGCCGUGGUCCAAGAACAGAACUUGAUCCCCUAGUAAGUCUGAAUCUGUUGGCAUAGGUAUUCACUGGUGGUUUGGAGAUUUUUCGUCGCUGAAAAAUCUUUUAAGACACCCACGCGCUGCUGGCGGUGGGUGGCGGCCCAUGGAGUUCUAAAUUGUUACCCUUGUUGUCCUGAGCACGACGGUAUGCUUGGAUUUUGAUUUGAUUAUCGUUUGACUGUCGAACGGAUAUUGCACCUGUUAUGCGAUAUUCGGGUUCAAUAGGUUUGGACCGUUCAAUCGGUCCCAUUUUCUAAUGCGUUGUUCCUCGUACUUCUAAGAUUUGUGUUGGAACUGGUGGAUCGAGAAUGGGAGUCCCGGAUACUCCUAAUCAAUGAUUCUAGGGCUAAGUAAACCGGUUACCAUCCGAUCGUGUGAUCGAGACCAAACUCUGAAAACUUGUUAAGUAGACCUUGUUGGACUUAUAGUAAAGUUUGGAUCGAAAAUAGGAGGUUGUGGACCCCUAGAGCCCAAUUGGUCAAAUUCAGCGAUCGGGGUCAAACUGACCGUUAGAUCGUGACGGGACUUCUAGAAUGGGCUGAACUUUUGGUUAUGGACCAAUAGGAAUUGUCAUAUAGCAAUUGGGGUUGGGGGCCCUUCGAGCCCAGUUGACUUAGAUUGUGGGCUUUGUUGGCUCGGUCGAGGCCUUUUAGUAGUUGUAAUUGUAAUUGGAGGUUUGUUUUAAAAUGGUAUUGUGUUUUGACCGUUUCAUUAAAUUUUUAUGAAUUAUUAUGUUAUCGCUUUUACUUUCCAUGAAUAAGGAAUGGCUUGGAUAACCGGAUUUUGGCAUGAAUAAGGAAUUAAUUAAAUGCCUGAUUGUAUGUCUAUAUUUAAAUAUAUGCUCGGUGGCUUGAAAUCGAUGAAUGAUGGACACUAGUUUUCUCAAUAGUAUGUUGUACAUAUUUGAAUGUAGUUUGAGAACAGUUUUGAAAGAUUAUGCAUGGUCAAGUUCAAGUUAAGGAAUGUUGGGAUUGAUCACAUUUUAAAAAAGGAUUUUUGGUUAUCUAUUUAAAAAUUGAUUUUUGGAAAUUUGAGAAAGAAUUUGGAAACUGGAUUAGUGGAAAAAGAGGAAUUUUAUGAUAAGUUUCGGAAAAUGGUUUUCAAAACCCACCACCAGAGUACCGCCCCCCAAGUUGCCUUCGGAACAGUCUAGUCAUUUAUGACAAUGCCCACGAGUCUCGGGGACCCCUGAACCAUGUGGUGUGAGGAUUUGCGUUCUCGGGUUGAUUAUAUCUUCCUGAGUCGUGCGAGGGGAUUUGACGGAUAUGGGUUUCGGGCUGAUCACCCGAUUCUGCGAGGAUAUGCGUUCUCGGGCAGACCACGUAUUCCCCGAGUUACAUGGGAAAGUAGUGGGGAAAGUGAAGCCCUCCUCCCCCCUUGGGUUUUGUUUUCCCUCAUCACUGGAAAGUUUGGGAAAAUGAACCAACAUUAAAUGCACAUUUUUCAUGAUCAUUUUGUCCCCCUUAAAAAUUUAGAAUUACAAUAUAUCAUUAAAUGCGUUCUUUUUUUUAUUUGAGUUAAUACAGGUAUAAUUGGAAAAUUAUACAAAUUUUGUUUUCCAUUUCUACUCAAAACGAACAUGGGAAACGAAAUAAAGGGAUAUCUCCUGGUUACUUUCAUUUCCCGUCUCUUGGGAAAUGACAUGGGAAGUGAUUUCCCCUCAAAUCCAUUCUGUGAACCAAAUGGGGCCUUAAGGUAAGAGCUUUUCCCCCAUAACAAGAGUUUUCUUUAGGGUUUUCCAUCCCUGGUUUGUCUGGGGUUUUCUUUAUUUUCUUACCAAACUGGUGAUAUACCGGGGUUUCCCUUCGAUAUCCAAGUAGUUGGAAUGGAAGAGGUGAUAAAUUCAUUGGAGAAAGUACUCAUCCUAACUGAAGACGAGAAUGAUUCGAUUUAGUAGGACAAAAUGAUGUCGAUGACGUGGGGGAGCGACUCAAGACGAGCCUGGUUGGAAAUGUCUUUACAACUAAUGUUUUCAACCGGGAGACAUUCAAGCAAACGAUAUUGAUGAUUUAGAACACAGCUCGUGAGGUGGGGGUGAAAGAUUUAGGUGAAAAUAUCUUUUUGUUCAUCUUUGUGACGGAAGGGGAUUGACUGAAGGUGUUGUGCAGUCGGCCUUGGAAUUUUGAAAAGCUCUAGUAUAACUUGAGAUUCCUGGUGGUAGUAUUGCUCCAUAAAAAAUGCAUCUAAAGUAUGCAGAAUUCUGAAUUGAAGUCCGUAACGUACCACUGAGUUGUGAGAAGACAAAUAUGGGGAGACAAAUUGGGAAUAUCUUGGACAGUGUUUGGAUGUAACAUAGGGCAUGGACGGGGAGUGUUUGGGUAGAUUUAUGUGGAUGCGUGUUUGUUUGGAUGUCUCCAAGUCGUUACGGUGAGGAAAAUGGUGAUUCUACCUUCUGGAAACAUAGAGUUAGUAGAUUUCCGAGACGAACAAUUGCCAGAAUUUUGUUUUGUGUGCGACAGAGUGGGUCAUGUGUUCAAGGUGUGUUCUUUUGUCGACCAGGCAGCCAAGCAAGCCAGCAAAAAGCCUAAAGGGACAUGGUUAGAGGCCACCACUGAUUUUAUCACUACAAGGGCAAGUAGUCCUAAGCGAUCCAACUGUGGUGGUAUGAGUAGACAUGUAUACGAAUAUCUAUGUAUGUGUGUGCACUGGGACCUAGGAAUUUUUUAGCGAAGAUGCAAUUUUGAAAGGCUAAAAACUGUUUGUGGAUUGAACAUCUAAGGUUUUUUUUACCUAAAUUGACCUUAGGUCCCUUAAUGCAUUCAUAUAAUACAUUAAAAAUUAUUUUAUAUAAAAAUAUUGAAUAAGUAUGAAAAAUGGUUUUUUGGAAUAAUCAUUUUCACAAGAUAAUUUUGGCGGCUUUUAUUCCUUACACAUCAAAUAAGAAAACUUAAUUUUAUGAAAUUUUAGUAUGAAGUAUAUAUUGACGUAAUGAGCCAUCAUUUUUAUCAUAAAUCGUAUUUUGCACUAAAACCGAUUUUUUCAUAUUUUGAGUUGGUGGGAAUUUAAUUUUCUAGUAUUUUUAUUUGAAUCCAAAUGGGGGGUACUUCCUUAUUUACAUUGUAAACUUAAGUAAAUGGAGUAAUAUAAAAAUAAAUGAAAGUAAAACAACAAAGACAUUUACUUAAAUGUUGAAAAUGGAAAUAAGGUAAUCUGUACAUCAGCUGAGCAAAGGGGCAAUUUGAAGCCUUAAUAGGUCCGUCACUGCGUGUGUGUAGAAGAUUACCAUAAUCUUUUACGGGAACACAAAAGAAAAAUAGAAGACAUUAUUUAAAAAAUAUAAUAGAAUGGAAUGUCAUACCAUAGUUAUUUGGUAAAUCAUCGAUUCGAUUGAAUAUAGAUGUCAUCCUUCUAAUCUUAAAGGUUCGUUUUCAUUUAUACAAAGAACAUGACCUCUCCACAAAAAAACCCUAGCCCCCUUUCUCCCAAAAAACACUCUCAGAGCCUUUUCCAUCUUGAGGGGGGAAGAAGCCAUUAUUCUUCCCCCCUCUCCUCUCC